CCCAGACUCCUACGGGAGGCAGCAGUGGGGAAUAUUGCACAAUGGGGGGAACCCUGAUGCAGCGACGCCGCGUGGGUGAGGAAGUACUUCGGUAUGUAAAGCCCUAUCAGCAGGGAAGAAAAUGACGGUACCUGACUAAGAAGCCCCGGCUAACUACGUGCCAGCAGCCGCGGUAAUACGUAGGGGGCAAGCGUUAUCCGGAUUUACUGGGUGUAAAGGGAGCGUAGACGGCGACGCAAGUCUGAAGUGAAAUGCCAGUGCUCAACACUGGAACUGCUUUGGAAACUGUGUAGCUAGAGUGCAGGAGAGGUAAGUGGAAUUCCUAGUGUAGCGGUGGAAUGCGUAGAUAUUAGGAGGAACACCAGUGGCGAAGGCGGCUUACUGGACUGUAACUGACGUUGAGGCUCGAAGGCGUGGGGAGCAAACAGGAUUAGAUACCCUCGUAGCU
Molecule: ribosomal RNA, 448 nt
Filed under: uncultured bacterium
Lineage: Bacteria
Description: bacterial SSU rRNA
Rfam family: Bacterial small subunit ribosomal RNA
Source: RNAcentral